GGAAAGCCCGUGGCUCAGUGGUAGAGCAUCUGCCUAGAGAGCAGAAGGUCCUGGGUUCAAUUCCUAGCAUCUCCA
Rhineura floridana is the source of this 75-nucleotide non-coding RNA. The record is from the annotation of a RefSeq genome assembly. Lineage: Eukaryota; Metazoa; Chordata; Lepidosauria; Squamata; Rhineuridae.